This 3168-nucleotide long non-coding RNA is filed under the name Carica papaya (papaya). RNAcentral describes it as "long non-coding RNA (CPAP_LNC016137)". The record is from RNAcentral. Lineage: Eukaryota; Viridiplantae; Streptophyta; Magnoliopsida; Brassicales; Caricaceae.
UCUUUUGUAGUAAAAUCCUACUGCUGUUCUUUGAACAAAAUUAUGAAUGAAGAAUUAUUUCAAAAUGCUGAGUACUUUAUCACUCAAGAGAUUGUUAGGCUCUCUCCUAACAAACACAUAAAUUAGGUGUCAUCUUUCUGUUGGUAUGCUCCUCAACAGAGUAUGACAAUGUAGUAUGAGGGUUGGAAAAUUUAGUAUGAAAAACCAUCAAGAAGGUUAAUCAUGGACAUUAAUAUGUUGUUUCUCUGUCAUUUGAGUCUAGAAAGAAAGAAAUUCUAGGACACUUGGCCGUGAAGACAAUUCAUAAAAGAGGAGAUAGGUGCAAACUGUCUAGAUGUGAGAAGUUAUACGUAAGGGAACUCUCUCUCCACUGAUCCAUCCAAAAGAGAAAUUAAGAACCAUUGCCAAACACUGCAACAUUCUAAUGGGUAAAAUAUUAAAAAAAUAUAGCUGAGAAAUGAAUUUCCAAAGAUAUGUUAGAGAUGGCUUUAGUGUUUAGCUUUACCACCCAUGUUAUAGAGGAAAAGCUUCAAAGAAAAGUGCAAUAAACAUUUAGUCACAAAAUAAAGGUUAUGGGAGACAAGAUUUUUUAUGUUAGUUAUUUACAACAGACUUUCCAUUCAACCAGUGGUCUUCACCUUAUACCACAGGGGAGAUCCCGUAUAUUUUACUCAACACUUACAGCUAUUAGUACUAACUUUGUUAUAUAUAUAUUUUUUAAUUUUUUUUCUUGACGAGGAUGGAAGCUGUUUGAACCCAAGUACUCAAUAAGGAUAUUGGGAAGCAUGACCGGGCUACCAUGCCUGGGUCCACUGAACUCUGGUUUGAUAAUUUAGGAGGAGAUAUCAUCAUAUACCUUGCUUUUUAUUUUUAUUUUUAAGGUUUUCUCUCUUUAGGAACCACACAAUGUAGAAGGCAAUGUGUGAAAAGUAGAUAUAAUUGUAGUAAUUGAUCUGUCCUAAAGAUUUUCAAAUUUUUAAUUUGUGACUUAUGUAAAUAAAAGGUGAUGAAAGUUGUCUAUAUCACAUUGAAUUACAUCCGGAAGGCAAAGGAGAGUCCACUCUGUGUCAAGGUUGACUAUAAUCCUUCUAUUAAAGAACAAACAGAUGUUUUCAACUAUAAAUUUAAGUGAAAAUUAGAUAGUGCUUGUAAUCAUGCUAUCUAUAUGGUGCAUUCAUCUUCACUAGAGGGUCUUUCUCAUUCAGGUUUUUCUAUAACUAUUUGAUAAAGAAUGACACCAUAGAAUGACGCCAUAGAGACCAGUUUUCCCUUUCAGCAAAUCCGGAAGGUCAAUGCUCUACCUAGAGUUGCUUUCUUUGCAUGGGAAGUAGGUUGUAGGUGUAUCAUUACCAUUGGUAAGCUGCUGAGGAGGGGAAGAAUAUUGGUGAAUAAAUGUUUUCUGUGCAAGAGGGAGGUGGAGUCUUGUAAUCACAUCCUUCUUUGGUGUCCGCUUGCAUAUAAGUUAUGGACCAUGGCUUUGGGGAUCAAUUGUGUGAUGGUUGGCUCAGUGAAGGAAGAGAUUUGGACCUGGAAAGUUAUUAGUGGAGGGAAGAAACAUGUGAGUUUCAUUCCCAUUGCUAUUUUUUGGGUGGUAUAGAAAGAGAACAUGAGAGUUUUUGAGGGAAUUGAAGAUAACUUUGAUAGGUUUCUAGAUAAAUGGUCCAACCCUGGUGUUUUUUAUUACGGGCCAUCUUAUACAAUGUAGGAUUUUGGGGACCUUUUCAAUAUUUUGAUUGACAUGUAGAUAUUUUUUUUACAUGGGUUGGCACCCUUUGGUGCUUGGAAUUAAUGAAUCUUACCAUAUUUUUUUUAUUUCUUUUUCAAGUAUUCAUCUUUUGAAGUGUUCGUUUUUCUGCAUACGCACAUUAUCAUGCAUGUGCAAUUGUUCUUUAUCAAUACAUAGGCAAUCCUCUCUCUUUGAUAUACAGGUGAAUUUGAAAUGCUUGGAGCAUUUUCUGCAAUCUGUAGGAACUCAUGAACAUAAAGUUUUUGAUCAAAGGAAAGGGACUUCUGCCUCUAGAAAGCAUAAAAGGGUAACUUGCCUACAAUAAAUGCUUUUUCUUUCCUUGGACCUAUCUCUGUUUCUAUUGUUGUAAUCUUUAGUUUUUUAUUUCUGUUGUUGAAAAGGUUAUAUUUGGCAACUUUGUUUUCCUUCUAAUUGUACUUUGGAUUUCAUUUAUCCAUCUUGACUGCUUGUCUUAAUUUCAUUUGUCCAAUCUUGAUUGCUCGUCUUCUGUCGUGCACAUGUCAUGUCUGCAACACGUGCAAGCACACAUUCUCAAACAUAUGUUCUGUGAGUGUCUGUUUUAUAUCUGCUUUGCAACAAUUGCUUUAUAGGAAUGAUCUAUUGAUUGUUUUUGCAAGAAGAAUCUCUCUUGUGGUUGCAUUGCAAUUAUAUUAAUGUGACAAGUCUAUUUGUUUUCAAAGUUCUCUAAAUAGAUUUCAACAUAAAUAGUGGAAAAAAAAACAAUUGGUUAUUUCAGUCUUUCAAAUAAGAAAAAAUAUAUUCAAACCUUCCCUGCAACCAUCCAAAGACAGAGUCCAAGGGCAGCAGAACUUACCACUAGCCUGCAGGGACAUAUUUCUGUCAAAAGCAUAAAUGUUCUUUAUGUUUGACAUCUCUUUGUGAGUUUUAUUGAGGAAAAGAGAUUCGGUUGUAAAUUGGUGAUGGAGUAUCACCUUUUUUCUUUCAUUUCAAAAGCCGCUUACUGAUAUGCAGAUUCAUGCUAGUUCAAUCAACUUAGCAUCUGAUGGUACAAAUAUGGUAGCUCUCAAGAUAUACAAUGUGAAUUGUUGUUCAUUUAGCUUUUUCAUUUUGAAACCUUGUUAUUUCUAGAAUAAACCUGAACUGGGACGGAAGCAAGAAUUUUAUGCUAAACAGUUCAAGGCUGUUACUCAAGAUGACUGUGAGAGAAUUCAGAGACAAUCGGUGAGUGUAUAUAUGUGAAUGAUGUCUUCUACUGGCCGUGUUGCUUUAUUACAAUUAUUCACUUAUUCACUGUUGAUGUAUUUAUUCAUUCCCGUUCUCAAUAAAGCUUCUUUUUCUAUCAAAAAAGAAAUAUAUUAAAUUUGGUAGUUCAUUUUGUUUAUGAAUCUAAUUUGAUGUGUUGAAGAUGUAAUAUGGUUUUCUUUGUCAUAGAAAUGGUAGAGUAGGUUAAAAAAUAUAAG